AAACGGGCAUCAAUAUGAAACGCAUGGUGGCACUUCACGUGACCAAGGUAAUGAAGACCAAGUCUCCAGAACUCAACUCAGCAUCCAGCUUGAAAAAGGGAGCAAGGUCAUUUUACACACAAAGUGAAGCCACUACAGAGAUGGAGGGUGCUUUCCUGAUCAAUUCCCUGAUCAGAAAAAUUAAAUCAGCCGGUUUGUGAUCCGCUGAAGAUCCAUCCAGCUGCAAAGGAUGGAGCCUUAACUACUAAACCACAUUAAAGUAUUUUGGAGCAUCUCCUGUAUCAGGGUGUGAAGCAGUGAUCCCUGCGGACCGGCAACACAGAUGCAAAUGAGUCUUUGGCUGACGUUUCCAUGGCGUCUGAUCCUAUGGAAAUGACGUGCUCCUGCUGCUGCUGCUGAUGGAAAAGUGGCAGAUUGAAAGUUUACCUCACACACCAAGAAGAAAUGAAACAUCUCUCGCUCUGGCUAGCAGCCUACAAACAUUACAACAGUGGAAACAUGAACAUCCUGAGGUACCUGUGAAUCUACGCCUUCAGCCACCUGACGUGGACAUCUAACAUCUUGCACCUUAAGUCAAAAAAGCCGAACAGAGACUCUUCAAUCCUGAGGACGCAGAAACAGGCUCAGCACCUGCAGCAACACUCCAGAAAAUACUCAUCAGAGGAGGACACAAACAACUAAACUUCUUAAAGGUCUCCGUCAGGCCGUAUCCCUGACCCACCGGGCAGCAGAAACACACGUUCAUGAAGCGUUGCGUGGCGGCGGAGAGCGGCGCUCCACCUGAAAGUAAGACUCUUAUAUGACCUCCCAGGAGAGCGCGGAUUUUCCUGAACACCAGCCUGGACAGAGGGCAGAGGGUUUACAGAGGAUACAGGAUGGACAUGAGAAUACAACUUUGGAGGGAAUUCUUUAGAACUCUGGUGUAAAAAGUCAUGCACACACUUGUCACACAGAGGUGUGCUGUAUCCUUUGCAAAGCUGCUCCAGUUUGUAGUUAUAUGCAAGAAUGAAGAGCGUUCGCUGGACACAGUUCAUCUCCUCCACCUUCAUCAUCACGUUUUUAUAGAUUCGAUCCAUGAUCUCCUGCAGCCAGGAAGAAAAAAGGGAAAAGGUCAUGAGAUCUAAAGUACGAAUAGAAAAUCAUCAAAGGAAAACUUAGACAAUAUACUGCAAUGAAAGCUUUGGACACAAUA
Molecule: long non-coding RNA, 1192 nt
Organism: Notolabrus celidotus (New Zealand spotty)
Lineage: Eukaryota; Metazoa; Chordata; Actinopteri; Labriformes; Labridae
Exons: 6
Source: RefSeq, a predicted model, not a curated record